AUUUAAAAACCUUUCAUAUAUGCAUAUAAAAGGUAAUCAAACACAAGCCAAAUGAAAAUUUGUUUAGCUAUGUUAAUAUCAGACAAAAGAGAUUUUAAGGCAGAAAUUAUUACUUGAAAGGAAGAUGUAUCCAUCAUCCAUAUAAAAGAAUCAACUAUUGAGGAAGUUGUCAAACUUGUGUAUGUAUAUUCACUCACACACAGUUAACACACAUUUACAAUUUUUAUAGAACUAAAAGGAGCAAUAGCCGCGUCUUCAAUCAUAAAGACUUUAAUAUACCUUUUUCAAUAACUGAUAGCAAAAAGGAUACAAAAUAUCAAUAAUAAUAGAAAAAUUUAAAGCAGUAGGAUUAAAUACUUUGAUAUAAAAACUGCACCCAAAAAUAGCAAAACACACAAUUUAUUAUAAUGUAUUUGGAACGUGUUUCAAAAUUUACCAUAGCUAUCUAUAGAUAUCUCUGUCUAUCUAGGUAGAUAGAUAAUAGAUAGGUAGGUAGAUAGAUAGAUAGAUAGAUAGAUAGAUAGGUUAGAUAGACAGAUAUAGGCUGAGGUUAGGCCCAAAACAAGAAUCAAUAAAUACCAAAAAUUUGAAAUCCUUGACAGUGUUUUUUGUACAACAAUGUUAUUAAGCUGCAAAUCUAUAGCAAGACUUUGAAAGUGACCAAAUGUUUAGAAAUUAAGCAUCACAUUUCUAAGUUAUUCAUGGAUCGAAAAAGUAAUUACAGUGAAUAUUAAAAUAUAUUUUGAAUUUAAUAAAAACGAAAGUAAAAAUACUGCUUGUUAAAAGAUGGGAGGCUUAGGCAAACCUCAGCUUGGAGAUAAAUGCAUAUGCUUACAUAAAUAUGUUUAAAAAAUUAAAGCUUGAAAAUUAAUAAUCUAAUUGUCAAUUUCAAAAAUUUAAAAUGUGAUGUCAAAUUAAAUCCAAAGAAUUAGAAAAGAGAAGAUACAUAAGAAGCAUGAGAAAAGGAAACAAUCAUAAAAUAAAUGAAAUCAGCAAAAGCCAAAGUUACUUUGAAAAGACUGAUAAAAAUAUACCAUGAUUAUGCAUGAAAUUUAAAAAAAAGAGUAUCCACAAAUUCUAAAUAUCAUGAAUAAUAACAAGGAAAUCAUUAUAGAUUCUAUAGUCAUGGGAGAGAAAAAGAGAAUGUAAUAAGUAACUUUAAGUCAAAAAUUUUGAAAUAAUUUGAUGAAAUAGAUACAUUUCU
RNAcentral lists this long non-coding RNA (1204 nucleotides) under Homo sapiens (human). Its description in RNAcentral is "HSALNT0358783". Lineage: Eukaryota; Metazoa; Chordata; Mammalia; Primates; Hominidae. The record is from RNAcentral.